Lytechinus pictus (painted urchin) is the source of this 814-nucleotide long non-coding RNA. RefSeq lists it as uncharacterized. Lineage: Eukaryota; Metazoa; Echinodermata; Echinoidea; Temnopleuroida; Toxopneustidae. The transcript has 2 exons. The record is from RefSeq and is a predicted model, not a curated record.
GUAGAUGUCUGUCAUGUGGUUGGUGUGGGCUGUUACAGACAGUUUGAGCAUGGACCUAUUACGGUACGUGAUAGGCCCAUGGUUUGAGCCAGGAUAAAUAAUCACACUGGACUUUGUGGAAAUAAUCUUGGGAUUCUAGCUGUCUUUCCCUCAGUUUGGCCAACUUUUGAUACAUCUCUUUUCAAAGAAAGAGUGCUGAAUCAUCAGGCUACAUAUGAUGAAGAUAAUGGAUGGACAGCUGGAAGUGAAAUAUAAUUGAAGUGCUUUGAAUUGAUGAAAAAACAAAAGUGCUCAAGAUGGGUCCAAAGUUACGCAAGAAGAUCCUCAUUCUAGGGAGCUCUAUUCUCUUUACUAUCUUCACAAUUCAGUUGACAGGUUUCAACAUUUUGAGAGAUGAUGAGGACUCUCUGAAGUUCACUAACAAUGCCUUGCCCACUAAUGGAAAGUUCAGAACUUUUGUUCCAUCCAAAGGAGAUCAUAAGAGAAACUUGCUUCAUGCCAGCAAACAGGGAAAGGAAGAGAUUGGUUUUGAUAGUAAAGAUACCAGAAGAACCUUACAAGAUAUUAGAACAGCAGAUGAUAUCAAAGGACACCCAAGGUUAGGUGAUGAGACUUCCCUGAAACAAGAUGCAUUUCAGGGAAUUAGAAAUGUAACAGUUGCCAUGACAACAAAACUCCAGUUUGAGAAUAUGUUUCCAUCACUGCUGGAAGAGGAGAGGUGUCCGUUAUGUUAUGGAACCACCAAAUGUGACCAGAUCUAUGCUGGUAAUAUCUCCUUCCAUGUUGGAAGUGUGAACUUGAGUGAGCCUCAUGC